GACGAACGCUGGCGGCGUGCUUAACACAUGCAAGUCGAGCGGUAAGGCCCUUUCGGGGGUACACGAGCGGCGAACGGGUGAGUAACACGUGGGUGACCUGCCCUUAGCUCUGGGAUAAGCCUGGGAAACUGGGUCUAAUACCGGAUAUGACUCCAUGACGCAUGUUGUGGGGUGGAAAGCCUUGUGCGGCUAGGGAUGGGCCUGCGGCCUAUCAGCUUGUUGGUGGGGUGANGGCCUACCAAGGCGACGACGGGUAGCCGGCCUGAGAGGGCGACCGGCCACACUGGGACUGAGACACGGCCCAGACUCCUACGGGAGGCAGCAGUGGGGAAUCUUGCGCAAUGGGCGAAAGCCUGACGCAGCGACGCCGCGUGGGGAUGACGGCCUGGUGU
This 392-nucleotide ribosomal RNA is filed under the name uncultured bacterium. RNAcentral describes it as "bacterial SSU rRNA". It matches the Rfam family "Bacterial small subunit ribosomal RNA", at positions 28 to 422 of the family's 1533-position model. The record is from RNAcentral.